Molecule: ribosomal RNA, 816 nt
Filed under: Escherichia coli
Lineage: Bacteria; Pseudomonadati; Pseudomonadota; Gammaproteobacteria; Enterobacterales; Enterobacteriaceae
Description: partial 23S ribosomal RNA
Rfam family: Bacterial large subunit ribosomal RNA
Source: RNAcentral
CCCCGUACACAAAAAUGCACAUGCUGUGAGCUCGAUGAGUAGGGCGGGACACGUGGUAUCCUGUCUGAAUAUGGGGGGACCAUCCUCCAAGGCUAAAUACUCCUGACUGACCGAUAGUGAACCAGUACCGUGAGGGAAAGGCGAAAAGAACCCCGGCGAGGGGAGUGAAAAAGAACCUGAAACCGUGUACGUACAAGCAGUGGGAGCACGCUUAGGCGUGUGACUGCGUACCUUUUGUAUAAUGGGUCAGCGACUUAUAUUCUGUAGCAAGGUUAACCGAAUAGGGGAGCCGAAGGGAAACCGAGUCUUAACUGGGCGUUAAGUUGCAGGGUAUAGACCCGAAACCCGGUGAUCUAGCCAUGGGCAGGUUGAAGGUUGGGUAACACUAACUGGAGGACCGAACCGACUAAUGUUGAAAAAUUAGCGGAUGACUUGUGGCUGGGGGUGAAAGGCCAAUCAAACCGGGAGAUAGCUGGUUCUCCCCGAAAGCUAUUUAGGUAGCGCCUCGUGAAUUCAUCUCCGGGGGUAGAGCACUGUUUCGGCAAGGGGGUCAUCCCGACUUACCAACCCGAUGCAAACUGCGAAUACCGGAGAAUGUUAUCACGGGAGACACACGGCGGGUGCUAACGUCCGUCGUGAAGAGGGAAACAACCCAGACCGCCAGCUAAGGUCCCAAAGUCAUGGUUAAGUGGGAAACGAUGUGGGAAGGCCCAGACAGCCAGGAUGUUGGCUUAGAAGCAGCCAUCAUUUAAAGAAAGCGUAAUAGCUCACUGGUCGAGUCGGCCUGCGCGGAAGAUGUAACGGGGCUAAACCAUG